RNAcentral lists this ribosomal RNA (496 nucleotides) under uncultured bacterium. RNAcentral's name for it is "partial 16S ribosomal RNA". It matches the Rfam family "Bacterial small subunit ribosomal RNA", at positions 28 to 506 of the family's 1533-position model. The record is from RNAcentral.
GAUGAACGCUGGCGGCGUGCCUAAUACAUGCAAGUCGAGCGAACAGAUUAGGAGCUUGCUCCUCUGACGUUAGCGGCGGACGGGUGAGUAACACGUGGAUAACCUACCUAUAAGACUGGGAUAACUUCGGGAAACCGGAGCUAAUACCGGAUAAUAUAUUGAACCGCAUGGUUCAAUAGUGAAAGACGGUUUUGCUGUCACUUAUAGAUGGAUCCGCGCCGCAUUAGCUAGUUGGUAAGGUAACGGCUUACCAAGGCAACGAUGCGUAGCCGACCUGAGAGGGUGAUCGGCCACACUGGAACUGAGACACGGUCCAGACUCCUACGGGAGGCAGCAGUAGGGAAUCUUCCGCAAUGGGCGAAAGCCUGACGGAGCAACGCCGCGUGAGUGAUGAAGGUCUUCGGAUCGUAAAACUCUGUUAUUAGGGAAGAACAAAUGUGUAAGUAACUAUGCACGUCUUGACGGUACCUAAUCAGAAAGCCACGGCUAACUACGU